GUGUCAGCCGCCGCGGUAAUACGAAGGGGGCUAGCGUUGCUCGGAAUUACUGGGCGUAAAGGGAGCGUAGGCGGACAGUUAAGUCAGUGGUGAAAGCCCAGGGCUCAACCCUGGAAUUGCCUUUGAUACUGAUUGUCUUGAGUAUGGGAGAGGUAUGCGGAACUCCGAGUGUAGAGGUGAAAUUCGUAGAUAUUCGGAAGAACACCAGUGGCGAAGGCGGCAUACUGGCCCAUUACUGACGCUGAGGCUCGAAAGCGUGGGGAGCAAACAGGAUUAGAUACCCUGGUAGUCC
RNAcentral lists this ribosomal RNA (292 nucleotides) under uncultured bacterium. RNAcentral describes it as "partial 16S ribosomal RNA". It matches the Rfam family "Bacterial small subunit ribosomal RNA", at positions 505 to 796 of the family's 1533-position model. The record is from RNAcentral.